GAAACAAGAUUACAUUUAGGAUAUUUUCUUGCAGAGUUUUAGUCUUAAAGAGUUAUUACCAGGACAGUUUCCACUUGUUCAAAGCAUGGGGUAGCAUAAUUUAGGACCACUCCACCCAGAAAGUUAUGUUCAGUGAGCAGCAGUCCAUCAGAAGGAUUGUAUCUGAAGUAAUUUUUGGGAAAGGACUAGAAAGAAGUCAGUAAAUCACCAGACUGUCAGUCCCAGCACUGGGACCACACCCAAGUCUUAAACUGCCUCUGGUCCCAGGCCACUGACAAGAUCUGGCAGCAGGGACAGCACCCUCUUUAGUCCUCAGCUCCCUGUGCCCCUGGCUGAGACCUGCUUUCUGGAGCUACCAACAAAGCAGUGCUUACUACAGUUUUCCCAGCCUGCAUACUGUGCAACUACUCAGAACAUAUCCCAACUUAACAUAGCAUAGUGCUUAGCAUGUGUUUUAUUCAGAUCAUAGUAAGUGCCCCAUUCAACAUAGCUCCUGUUUCAUUGACCAAGGUCUAUAAUGCAAUCCAAGAGUUACUUGCAGCAUUUCUAGUACUCAAGAAAGUGGAGGCAAGACUACAAAGUUUCUUUAAGUACAUGUACUCCACUACUUGGGUAUGUUAUUGAACAGUCCACCUUCAGAGAAAAAGUAAUUAUGCACU
Molecule: long non-coding RNA, 659 nt
Organism: Gavialis gangeticus (Gharial)
Lineage: Eukaryota; Metazoa; Chordata; Crocodylia; Gavialidae
Exons: 3
Source: RefSeq, a predicted model, not a curated record